Molecule: ribosomal RNA, 253 nt
Filed under: uncultured bacterium
Lineage: Bacteria
Description: partial 16S ribosomal RNA
Rfam family: Bacterial small subunit ribosomal RNA
Source: RNAcentral
UACGGAGGGUGCAAGCGUUAUCCGGAUUCACUGGGUUUAAAGGGUGUGUAGGCGGGUAUUUAAGUCAGUGGUGAAAUCUCCGGGCUCAACCCGGAAACUGCCAUUGAUACUAUUUAUCUUGAAUUCUGUUGAGGUAGGCGGAAUAUAUCAUGUAGCGGUGAAAUGCUUAGAUAUGAUAUAGAACACCGAUUGCGAAGGCAGCUUACUAAACAGAUAUUGACGCUGAGGUACGAAAGCGUGGGGAUCAAACAGG